GAUGAAGAACGUAGUGAAAUGCGAUAAGUAAUGUGAAUUGCAGAAUCCAGUGAAUCAUCGAAUCUUUGAACGCACAUUGCGCCCGCCAGCAUUCUGGCGGGCAUGCCUGUUCGAGCGUCAUUUCAACCCUCGCCCUCCCUUUGGGGAAGUCGGCGUUGGGGACCGGCAGCACACCGCCGGCCCUGAAAUGGAGUGGCGGCCCGUCCGCGGCGACCUCUGCGUAGUAAACCAACUCGCACCGGAACCCCGACAUGGCCACGCCGUAAAACACCCAACUUCUGAACGUUGACCUCGAAUCAGGUAGGACUACCCGCUGAACUUAAGCAUAUCAAUAAGCGGAGGA
RNAcentral lists this unclassified non-coding RNA (343 nucleotides) under soil metagenome. RNAcentral describes it as "partial contains 5.8S ribosomal RNA, internal transcribed spacer 2, and large subunit ribosomal RNA". The stretch from base 1 to 120 matches the Rfam family "5.8S ribosomal RNA", at positions 35 to 154 of the family's 154-position model. The record is from RNAcentral.